Molecule: ribosomal RNA, 468 nt
Filed under: uncultured bacterium
Lineage: Bacteria
Description: partial 16S ribosomal RNA
Rfam family: Bacterial small subunit ribosomal RNA
Source: RNAcentral
GACGAACGCUGGCGGCGUGCUUAAUACAUGCAAGUCGAACGGAAAGGCCCUGCUUUUGUGGGGUGCUCGAGUGGCGAACGGGUGAGUAACACGUGAGUAACCUGCCCUUGACUUUGGGAUAAAUUCAGGAAACUGGGGCUAAUACCGGAUAGGAGCUCCUGCUGCAUGGUGGGGGUUGGAAAGUUUCGGCGGUUGGGGAUGGACUCGAGGCUUAUCAGCUUGUUGGUGGGGUAGUGGCUUACCAAGUCUUUGACGGGUAGCCGGCCUGAGCGGGUGACCGGCCACAUUGGGACUGAGGUACGGCCCAGACUCCUACGGGAGGCAGCAGUGGGGAAUAUUGCACAAUGGGCGGAAGCCUGAUGCAGCAACGCCGCGUGCGUGAUGACGGCCUUCGGGUUGUAAACCGCUUUCGCCUGUGACGAAGCGUGAGUGACGGUAAUGGGUAAAGAAGCACCGGCUAACUACGUG